This 104-nucleotide small nuclear RNA is filed under the name Microcebus murinus (gray mouse lemur). The record is from RNAcentral. Lineage: Eukaryota; Metazoa; Chordata; Mammalia; Primates; Cheirogaleidae.
GUGCUCACUACAGCGCACGUUAAAAUUGGGUUGAUACAGAGAAGAUUAUCGAGUCCCGGCGCAAGGAUGACUCGCAAAUUCACGAAGCGUUGUUCCACAGUUUU